UACAGAGGGUGCGAGCGUUGUUCGGAAUUACUGGGCGUAAAGCGCGCGUAGGCGGAUUUGCAAGUCGGGGGUGAAAGCCCGAGGCUCAACCUCGGAACUGCCCUCGAUACUGCAAAUCUCGAGUCCGAGAGAGGUGAGUGGAAUUCCUAGUGUAGAGGUGAAAUUCGUAGAUAUUAGGAAGAACACCAGUGGCGAAGGCGGCUCACUGGCUCGGUACUGACGCUGAGGCGCGAAAGCGUGGGGAGCAAACAGG
Molecule: ribosomal RNA, 253 nt
Filed under: uncultured bacterium
Lineage: Bacteria
Description: partial 16S ribosomal RNA
Rfam family: Bacterial small subunit ribosomal RNA
Source: RNAcentral